This 499-nucleotide ribosomal RNA is filed under the name Meyerozyma guilliermondii. Its description in RNAcentral is "LSU rRNA". It matches the Rfam family "Eukaryotic large subunit ribosomal RNA", at positions 97 to 601 of the family's 3401-position model. Lineage: Eukaryota; Fungi; Ascomycota; Pichiomycetes; Serinales; Debaryomycetaceae. The record is from RNAcentral.
AGCGGCAAAAGCUCAAAUUUGAAAUCUGGCACCUUCGGUGUCCGAGUUGUAAUUUGAAGAUUGUAACCUUGGGGUUGGCUCUUGUCUAUGUUUCUUGGAACAGGACGUCACAGAGGGUGAGAAUCCCGUGCGAUGAGAUGCCCAAUCCUAUGUAAGGUGCUUUCGAAGAGUCGAGUUGUUUGGGAAUGCAGCUCUAAGUGGGUGGUAAAUUCCAUCUAAAGCUAAAUAUUGGCGAGAGACCGAUAGCGAACAAGUACAGUGAUGGAAAGAUGAAAAGAACUUUGAAAAGAGAGUGAAAAAGUACGUGAAAUUGUUGAAAGGGAAGGGUUUGAGAUCAGACUCGAUAUUUUGUGAGCCUUGCCUUCGUGGCGGGGUGACCCGCAGCUUAUCGGGCCAGCAUCGGUUUGGGCGGUAGGAUAAUGGCGUAGGAAUGUGACUUUGCUUCGGUGAAGUGUUAUAGCCUGCGUUGAUGCUGCCUGCCUAGACCGAGGACUGCGAA